This 260-nucleotide ribosomal RNA is filed under the name uncultured bacterium. RNAcentral's name for it is "partial small subunit ribosomal RNA". It matches the Rfam family "Bacterial small subunit ribosomal RNA", at positions 26 to 285 of the family's 1533-position model. The record is from RNAcentral.
AGGACGAACGCUGGCGGCGUGCUUAACACAUGCAAGUCGAGCGGUAAGGCUCCUUCGGGAGUACACGAGCGGCGAACGGGUGAGUAACACGUGAGCAAUCUGCCCCUUCACACUGGGAUACCCCCCCGGAAACGGGUGCUAAUACCGGAUACAACCACUUCAGGCAUCUGACGGUGGUGGAAAGUUCUGGCGGUGAAGGAUGAGCUCGCGGCCUAUCAGCUUGUUGGUGAGGUAAUGGCCUACCAAGGCGACGACGGGUA